Molecule: ribosomal RNA, 497 nt
Filed under: uncultured bacterium
Lineage: Bacteria
Description: partial 16S ribosomal RNA
Rfam family: Bacterial small subunit ribosomal RNA
Source: RNAcentral
GAUGAACGCUGGCGGCGUGCUUAACACAUGCAAGUCGAACGAAGCAUUCUAACGGAACAUUUUCUGAUGGGAAGUUAAAAUGACUGAGUGGCGGACGGGUGAGUAACGCGUGGAUAACCUACCAUAUACAGGGGGACAACAGUUGGAAACGACUGCUAAUACCGCAUAAGCGCACAGUGCCGCAUGGCACGGUGUGAAAAACGCCGGUGGUAUAUGAUGGAUCCGCGUCUGAUUAGCUAGUUGGUGAGGUAAUGGCACACCAAGGCAACGAUCAGUAGCCUACCUGAGAGUGUGACAGGGCACAUUGGGACUGAGACACGGUCCAAACUGCUACGGGAGGCAGCAGUGGGGAAUAUUGCACAAUGGGCGACAGCAUGAUGCAGCAACGCCGCGUGAGUGAUGAAGGCCUUCGGGUCGUAAAGCUCUGUCCUCAAGGAAGAUAAUGACGGUAUUUGAGGAGGAAGCCCCGGCUAACUACGUGCCAGCCGCCGCCGUAA